RNAcentral lists this long non-coding RNA (1158 nucleotides) under Homo sapiens (human). Its description in RNAcentral is "HSALNT0185808". The record is from RNAcentral. Lineage: Eukaryota; Metazoa; Chordata; Mammalia; Primates; Hominidae.
AUUUCAGGCAGUCGUGGUUUUGCGUAGUACAAGAGAAAUAAGGAAAUGACUCGUGGCAACCAAAAGAACAGGCAGCACAAGGUGGUAAUCGGAUUUUCUAACCCAAGAGAGGAGACUAAGGACACUUUGAUGCAAAGGUCUUAGCCCAGCCCAGCCCCUUAGGGAUACAGGAGAUCUGAGAGCAAGAUCUGAGAGCAAAUAAAGCAAGUUUAUUUGAGAACAAUUUCAAAAGUGAAGGUGUUCCUUGUCACCCUAUAUUGAAAUUCUGGAUUGUUCCAGUCAAUGAGAGUAGAAGUGUUUUCAUUUCUCUCACCUUCUUUUAUUUGCUGGGGGAUAAAUGUUGUGGCUUGAAGGCAGAGCAAGGAAUUUGUGUUCUAUACUGGAACUCUAAGUGAAUCAUCUCACCUGUGAACUAUUGUGAAAAAAGCCUAUGACUUCAAACUUGUGCAAGAUGGUGCCAUAGAGGAUAAAAACAAGAUGGAGGCAGGAUGGGAUGGCUCACGCCUGUAAUCCCGGUAGUUUGGGAGGCCGAAGCGGGUGGAUCACCUGAGGUCAGGAGUUCGAGACCAGCUUGGCCAACAUGAAACCCCGUCUCUAUUAAAAAUACAAAAUUAGCCGGGCAUGGUGGCGUGCACCUGUAGUCUCAGCUACUCGGGAAGCUGAGGCAGGAGAAUCUCUUGAACUUGGGAGGCGGAGGUUGCAGUGAGCCAAGAUUGUACCACUGCACUCCAGCCUGGGUGACAGAGCGAGACUGUCAAAAAAAGAAAAAAAAAAAGAGAUAGAAAAUAUUAUCAUUUGUGCUUCUGUGAUAUUUUCCCUUUUUGGAUAAAUGAUGAUUGAUUUAUUCUAAACUCCUCUGGGGAUUGGCAAACUUCAUGUUAACUUCUAUAUCCUAACACCUGAUGUGUCACCAGACUCUUGCCUCACCGUCAGGGUGUUCCAUUCCAUCCCACUCAGCCGCACCAGCACGAGUGAUUUUACCGUGAAGUAGGAAAGAGAAUUAAUGAGAAAGCACUUCCAGAAUUCUGCUGGGGAAAGUAAGAGAUUAUAACAUUUUAAGGGAUCAUCCCAGUUUCAAAUAUUCACCCCAAAACUGAUCCCAUAAGCCUUUACAAUAUCACAACAGCGGUGGGCAGAUUGCCUAAGCUCAGGAGUUCG